RNAcentral lists this ribosomal RNA (494 nucleotides) under uncultured bacterium. RNAcentral describes it as "partial 16S ribosomal RNA". It matches the Rfam family "Bacterial small subunit ribosomal RNA", at positions 28 to 507 of the family's 1533-position model. The record is from RNAcentral.
GACGAACGCUGGCGGCGUGCUUAACACAUGCAAGUCGAACGGUGAAGCGCCUUCCUUUUUGGUUAGUGUGGAUGAGUGGCGAACGGGUGAGUAACACGUUAGUAACCUGCCCCCUUCUUCUUGAUAACCGCAUGAAAGUGUUGCUAAUACGGGAUAUUCUGUGUCUGUCGCAUGAUGGGUCUGGGAAAGAUAUUGUUUCGGUUGGGGAUGGGCUCGCGGCCUAUCAGUUUGUUGGUGGGGUGAUGGCCUACCAAGGCGGUGACGGGUAGCCGGCCUGAGAGGGUGGACGGUAAGACAGGGAAUGAGAAACGGCAAAGACUCCGAAGGGAGGCAGCAGUGGGGAAUAGUGCACAAUGGGGGGAAGACUGAUGCAGCGACGCCGCGUGAGGGAUGGAGGCCUUAGGGUUGUGAACCUCUUUCGCCAGUGAAGCAGGCCUGCCUAGUUUGUGGGUGGGUUGACAGUAGCUGGAUAAGAAGCGCCGGCUAACUACGUG